GAUGAACGCUGGCGGCGUGCCUAAUACAUGCAAGUCGAGCGAACAGACGAGGAGCUUGCUCCUCUGACGUUAGCGGCGGACGGGUGAGUAACACGUAGGUAACCUACCUAUAAGACUGGGAUAACUUCGGGAAACCGGAGCUAAUACCGGAUAAUAUUUCGAACCGCAUGGUUCGAUAGUGAAAGAUGGCUUUGCUAUCACUUAUAGAUGGACCUGCGCCGUAUUAGCUAGUUGGUAAGGUAACGGCUUACCAAGGCAACGAUACGUAGCCGACCUGAGAGGGUGAUCGGCCACACUGGAACUGAGACACGGUCCAGACUCCUACGGGAGGCAGCAGUAGGGAAUCUUCCGCAAUGGGCGAAAGCCUGACGGAGCAACGCCGCGUGAGUGAUGAAGGUCUUCGGAUCGUAAAACUCUGUUAUUAGGGAAGAACAAACGUGUAAGUAACUAUGCACGUCUUGACGGUACCUAAUCAGAAAGCCACGGCUAACUACGUG
This 497-nucleotide ribosomal RNA is filed under the name uncultured bacterium. RNAcentral describes it as "partial 16S ribosomal RNA". It matches the Rfam family "Bacterial small subunit ribosomal RNA", at positions 28 to 507 of the family's 1533-position model. The record is from RNAcentral.